Long non-coding RNA from Dermacentor albipictus, 626 nucleotides. RefSeq lists it as uncharacterized. NCBI's taxonomy places the organism in Eukaryota, Metazoa, Arthropoda, Arachnida, Ixodida, Ixodidae. The record is from RefSeq and is a predicted model, not a curated record.
CUGCACCCUGCCAAGCCAGAGCUGUUUUAAGUGCGCAUGCUCGGCCUUCAUGAUAUAACAACUGAGGAGCUGGAUGCACUUGGCUGCUUCCUUCGCAUAACUCGUACAGGUAACUCUUCGGAGAGCAACUUCAGUCUUUGAGCAGGCGUCCCAGGGGAAGCCACACGCCACCUAAAAGAAUGCCAAAUCAGCGGGCGGUGCCGCCGAUCCGUGGGAAAUCCAGGUCUUCUUUGCCUCAGGAAAAAUGGGUCGGCGUCCUGAGCUUUACCGAUUUCCUAUGCUUAUGCAUCUGCGUCCUCUAUGUUGUGUUCUGCCUGGAAUGUCGCCUCAUUUGGUAUGGGAUUCGGUGUUUCGUGGCAUGGCUUCGUUCACUGCCGCACCAUGACUCGCCACAGCGUCGUCUAUGAUUCCUCACCGGAUCUCCUGCGAAACGCAUCUCGAACCGAAACGACCGAAGACAUCCAGAGGUUCUAGCCUACCUGCAGCCACAAGAAACAAGGACGAAAUUCAGCCAAUUUUAGCAUGCACUGAUCACAACGCUUUUAACCUCGCACUGCAUUUGAAAGAGGUCGCACAUUUCAGCAUUCUGUAGGCCCAAUAGGCAAAUAAACACAACUUCAAGGGAA